UGAGGAAUAUUGGUCAAUGGGCGGAAGCCUGAACCAGCCAUGCCGCGUGCAGGAAGACGGCCCUACGGGUUGUAAACUGCUUUUCCGGGGGAAGAAUAAGGGCGACGUGUCGCCCGAUGCCGGUACCCCGGGAAUAAGGAUCGGCUAACUCCGUGCCAGCAGCCGCGGUAAUACGGAGGAUCCGAGCGUUAUCCGGAUUUACUGGGUUUAAAGGGUGCGUAGGCGGGCGCUUAAGUCAGCGGUGAAAUACGGGGGCUCAACCUUCGAACGGCCGUUGAUACUGGGCGCCUUGGAUUCGGUCGAGGCGGGCGGAAUGCGUGGUGUAGCGGUGAAAUGCUUAGAUAUCACGCAGAACGCCGAUUGCGAAGGCAGCUCGCCAGGCCGACAUUGACGCUGAGGCACGAAAGCGUGGGGAUCGAACA
This 422-nucleotide ribosomal RNA is filed under the name uncultured prokaryote. RNAcentral describes it as "bacterial SSU rRNA". It matches the Rfam family "Bacterial small subunit ribosomal RNA", at positions 355 to 774 of the family's 1533-position model. The record is from RNAcentral.